This 253-nucleotide ribosomal RNA is filed under the name uncultured bacterium. Its description in RNAcentral is "partial 16S ribosomal RNA". It matches the Rfam family "Bacterial small subunit ribosomal RNA", at positions 524 to 776 of the family's 1533-position model. The record is from RNAcentral.
UACGCAGGGGGCUAGCGUUGCUCGGAAUCACUGGGCGUAAAGGGUGCGUAGGCGGGUCUUUCAGUCAGGGGUGAAAUCCUGGAGCUCAACUCCAGAACUGCCUUUGAUACUGAAGAUCUUGAGUUCGGGAGAGGUGAGUGGAACUGCGAGUGUAGAGGUGAAAUUCGUAGAUAUUCGCAAGAACACCAGUGGCGAAGGCGGCUCACUGGCCCGAUACUGACGCUGAGGCACGAAAGCGUGGGGAGCAAACAGG